UACGUAGGGGGCUAGCGUUGUCCGGAUUUAUUGGGCGUAAAGAGCGUGUAGGCGGCCAGAUAGGUCUGCUGUGAAAACUCGAGGCUCAACCUCGAGAUGUCGGCGGAAACCAUUUGGCUAGAGUCCGGAAGAGGAAAGUGGAAUUCCUGGUGUAGCGGUGAAAUGCGCAGAUAUCAGGAAGAACACCUAUGGCGAAGGCAGCUCUCUGGGACGGUACUGACGCUGAGACGCGAAAGCGUGGGGAGCGAACAGG
This 253-nucleotide ribosomal RNA is filed under the name uncultured bacterium. RNAcentral's name for it is "partial 16S ribosomal RNA". It matches the Rfam family "Bacterial small subunit ribosomal RNA", at positions 524 to 776 of the family's 1533-position model. The record is from RNAcentral.